CAGUAGCCACGGUAAUACGAAGGGGGCUAGCGUUGUUCGGAAUUACUGGGCGUAAAGCGCACGUAGGCGGACAUUUAAGUCAGGGGUGAAAUCCCGGGGCUCAACCCCGGAACUGCCUUUGAUACUGGGUGUCUUGAGUGUGGAAGAGGUCAGUGGAAUUGCGAGUGUAGAGGUGAAAUUCGUAGAUAUUCGCAGGAACACCAGUGGCGAAGGCGGCUGACUGGUCCACAACUGACGCUGAGGUGCGAAAGCGUGGGGAGCAAACAGGAUUAGAUACCCCCGUAGUCCCUGUCUCUUAUAC
Molecule: ribosomal RNA, 301 nt
Filed under: uncultured bacterium
Lineage: Bacteria
Description: partial 16S ribosomal RNA
Rfam family: Bacterial small subunit ribosomal RNA
Source: RNAcentral